This 74-nucleotide non-coding RNA is filed under the name unclassified sequences. RNAcentral describes it as "DUF3800-IX RNA". It matches the Rfam family "DUF3800-IX RNA". Rfam says of the family: Actinobacteria, Firmicutes (1 example), Nitrospirae, Proteobacteria, Verrucomicrobia (1 example). Nearby to DUF3800 The record is from Rfam by way of RNAcentral.
GCUUCCGCUAUCCGAACUGUCGCCGUAUGGUUGGCGUGCCUGGGUUCCGCCCAGGAUAGGACGCGGGAGCGCAU